RNAcentral lists this ribosomal RNA (497 nucleotides) under uncultured bacterium. Its description in RNAcentral is "partial 16S ribosomal RNA". It matches the Rfam family "Bacterial small subunit ribosomal RNA", at positions 28 to 507 of the family's 1533-position model. The record is from RNAcentral.
GAUGAACGCUGGCGGCGUGCCUAAUACAUGCAAGUCGAGCGAACGGACGAGAAGCUUGCUUUUCUGAUGUUAGCGGCGGACGGGGGAGUAACACGUGGAUAACCUACCUAUAAGACUGGGAUAACUUCGGGAAACCGGAGCUAAUACCGGAUAAUAUUUUGAACCGCAUGGUUCAAAAGGGAAAGACGGUCUUGCUGUCACUUAUAGAUGGAUCCGCGCUGCAUUAGCUAGUUGGUAAGGUAACGGCUUACCAAGGCAACGAUGCAUAGCCGACCUGAGAGGGUAAUCGGCCACACUGGAACUGGGACACGGUCAAGACUCCUACGGGGGGCAGCAGUAGGGAAUCUUCCGAAAUGGGCGAAAGCCUAACGGACCAACGCCGCGUGAGUGAUGAAGGUCUUCGGAUCUUAAAACUCUGUUAUUAAGGAAGAACAUAUGUGUAAGUAACUGUGCACAUCUUGACGGUACCUAAUCAGAAAGCCACGGCUAACUACGUG